Molecule: long non-coding RNA, 844 nt
Filed under: Homo sapiens (human)
Lineage: Eukaryota; Metazoa; Chordata; Mammalia; Primates; Hominidae
Description: HSALNT0051558
Source: RNAcentral
UGGCCCCACCAGAAACAAUCAGGUUUCUUCCCCAGAAUUUUUUAUUUAGAGAUAGAGAAAAAGAGGUAGUAUUAUUUUUGGUGAUACAGCUGGAAAUGGGCUAUUGGCAAACAUCUUCCCCACUAUGUGGAGAAAGCGUAUCUUUAGAAGGAGAAAAUGUGGCCACAACAACACAGAGAUGUGUAGAGUUUAGAGAGCCCGUGACAGCAAGAGGGAGAGAAUGAACUACCGUCUUGACAAUCUCACUUAAGCUUCUGAAUGCAAUUGUGAACGGACUUCCACUUACAGACCAUAUAAGAAUCACUAACAUGAGCUGCAUACGCUGGAGGCCCCUCUGCUGUCAUUAUUUUAUGUGCUGGAAAACGCUGCGAUGGGAAGACAGCCCAGUCAGAUGGGGAUGGCCUGGAAUAGGAGCCAGGUAUCUGUGUCAUGGACUAGUAAUACAAGUCUCUUGGCCUCUCUGGGCUUCAGUUUCUUCACCUGUUCAACCAAAGGCAUGAACCGAAAGCCUUCUCAGGUCCCUUUCACCUCGACUGCUCUAUGUCAGUAUGAUCUUUUAAAUCAACUCCCUGAUUUUACCUAUAAGGCCCAGGGGCUCCCCUGGUCACAGAGCCAGGACACAGUUUAGAACCUAGACCUCCUGACUCAGAUUGUCCUCUAGGGCAGACCAACUUCCUUGCCAAUUAUAGAAGAGGAGCAGGGUUCUAUUACACUGUUAGCACUUACUUUCUUUGAUUCCAGAGCAUCCUAUUUCACUCCAUUUUUCCAAGAAUGAAGAACGAGAGCCAGGUCCCAAACCCAGUCCCCAGUGGGCCACUUAACUUCCCUCUCUUCAUGACUCAGG